This 300-nucleotide ribosomal RNA is filed under the name uncultured Nitrospira sp. RNAcentral describes it as "bacterial SSU rRNA". It matches the Rfam family "Bacterial small subunit ribosomal RNA", at positions 353 to 655 of the family's 1533-position model. Lineage: Bacteria; Pseudomonadati; Nitrospirota; Nitrospiria; Nitrospirales; Nitrospiraceae. The record is from RNAcentral.
AGUAAGGAAUAUUGCGCAAUGGGCGAAAGCCUGACGCAGCGACGCCGCGUGGGGGAUGAAGGUCUUCGGAUUGUAAACCCCUUUCGGGAGGGAAGAUGGAGCGAGCAAUCGUUCGGACGGUACCUCCAGAAGCAGCCACGGCCAACUUCGUGCCAGCAGCCGCGGUAAUACGAAGGUGGCAAGCGUUGUUCGGAUUCACUGGGCGUACAGGGUGUGUAGGCGGUUUGGUAAGCCUUCUGUUAAAGCUUCGGGCCCAACCCGGAAAGCGCAGAGGGUACUGCCAGGCUAGAGGGUGGGGGA